GCUUACGGGCACACCGCCUGGUUCACGCCCGAUCUCGUUUGAUCUCGGAAGCUAAGAUAGGUUGGGCCUGGUAAGUACUUGGAUGGAGACCGCCUGGGAAUACCAGGUGCUGUGCUUU
RNAcentral lists this ribosomal RNA (118 nucleotides) under Scophthalmus maximus (turbot). Lineage: Eukaryota; Metazoa; Chordata; Actinopteri; Pleuronectiformes; Scophthalmidae. The record is from RNAcentral.